This 492-nucleotide ribosomal RNA is filed under the name uncultured bacterium. Its description in RNAcentral is "partial 16S ribosomal RNA". It matches the Rfam family "Bacterial small subunit ribosomal RNA", at positions 30 to 507 of the family's 1533-position model. The record is from RNAcentral.
AUUGAACGCUGGCGGCAGGCCUAACACAUGCAAGUCGAACGGAAGCACAGUGCUUGCUUGCGGUUCCCGAGGGGGAAAGGGGUGCGUUUCAUGGGAAUAUCCUGAUCUGCUUUUUGUGAUGUCAUAACGAAGGUGGUCUUACUCCAUGACUGCAGACGGCGUAGGUGGGAGAGCAUUGGAUCUUCUGGGCUGUUGCGGGUGUAGGAGCGGAUGUCGAGUUAGUUGGUUGGUGGGGUAAAUGCCUACCAAGGCGACGAUCGGUAGCUUGUCUGAGAGGAUGAUAAGCCACACUGGAACUGAGACACGGUCCAGACUACUACGGGAGGCAGCAGUGGGGAAUAUUGGACAAUGGGCGGAAGCCUGAUCCAGCCAUACCGCGUGGGUGAAGAAGGCCUUCGGGUUGUAAAGCCCUUUUUUUGGGAAAGAAAAGCAGUAGGUUAAUACCACGCUGUUGUGACGGUACCAAAAGAAUAAGCACCGGCUAACUUCGUG